GGCCGCGGUAUCCUGACCGUGCAAAGGUAGCAUAAUCAUUUGUUCCUUAAUUAGGGACUUGUAUGAAUGGCCCCACGAGGGUUUGACUGUCUCUUACUUUUAAUCAGUGAAAUUGACCUUCCCGUGAAGAGGCGGGAAUGCAAAAAUAAGACGAGAAGACCCUAUGGAGCUUAAAUUAACAUGUUCAACAAAAUUCAACUUCAACCCAAUAGGAACAAUAGCAUUUUAACUGAACAGCAAAUUUUGGUUGGGGUGACCUCGGAGUAUAACAAAGCCUCCGAGCAAUUUAACCAAGACUUACCAGUCAAGGUCACAUAACUUAUUGAUCCAAUCACAUUGAUCAACGAAACAAGUUACCCUAGGGAUAACAGCGCAAUCCUAUUUGAGAGUUCAUAUCGACAAUAGGGUUUACGACCUCGAUGUUGGAUCAGGACACCCAAAUGGUGCAACAGCU
This 454-nucleotide ribosomal RNA is filed under the name Crocidura muricauda. Its description in RNAcentral is "partial large subunit ribosomal RNA". It matches the Rfam family "Bacterial large subunit ribosomal RNA", at positions 1929 to 2563 of the family's 2925-position model. Lineage: Eukaryota; Metazoa; Chordata; Mammalia; Eulipotyphla; Soricidae. The record is from RNAcentral.